This 506-nucleotide ribosomal RNA is filed under the name uncultured bacterium. RNAcentral describes it as "partial 16S ribosomal RNA". It matches the Rfam family "Bacterial small subunit ribosomal RNA", at positions 29 to 523 of the family's 1533-position model. The record is from RNAcentral.
AGUGAACGCUGGCGGUAGGCCUAACACAUGCAAGUCGAACGGCAGCACAGAGGAGCUUGCUCCUUGAGUGGCGAGUGGCGGACGGGUGAGGAAUACAUCGGAAUCUACUCUGUCGUGGGGGAUAACGUAGGGAAACUUACGCUAAUACCGCAUACGACCUACGGGUGAAAGCAGGGGAUCUUCGGACCUUGCGCGAUUGAAUGAGCCGAUGUCGGAUUAGCUAGUUGGCGGGGUAAAGGCCCACCAAGGCGACGAUCCGUAGCUGGUCUGAGAGGAUGAUCAGCCACACUGGAACAGAGACACGGUCCAGACUCCUACGGGAGGCAGCAGUGGGGAAUAUUGGACAAUGGGCGAAAGCCUGAUCCAGCCAUACCGCGUGGGUGAAGAAGGCCUUCGGGUUGUAAAGCCCUUUUGUUGGGAAAGAAAUCCAUCUGGUUAAUACCCGGGUGGGAUGACGGUACCCAAAGAAUAAGCACCGGCUAACUUCGUGCCAGCCGCCGCGGUAA